RNAcentral lists this ribosomal RNA (253 nucleotides) under uncultured bacterium. RNAcentral's name for it is "partial 16S ribosomal RNA". It matches the Rfam family "Bacterial small subunit ribosomal RNA", at positions 524 to 776 of the family's 1533-position model. The record is from RNAcentral.
UACGAAGGGGGCUAGCGUUGCUCGGAAUCACUGGGCGUAAAGGGCGUGUAGGCGGCUUCGUAAGUCUUGUGUGAAAGCCCUCGGCUCAACCGAGGAAUUGCACGAGAAACUGCGUGGCUCGAGUCCGGGAGAGGAUAGUGGAAUUCCCAGUGUAGCGGUGAAAUUCGUAGAUAUUGGGAAGAACACCAGUGGCGAAGGCGGCUCACUGGUCCGAUACUGACGCUGAGGUGCGAAAGCGUGGGGAGCAAACAGG